AGGGGAAAUAUGUCCCCCUCAGUGA
RNAcentral lists this transfer RNA (25 nucleotides) under Urosaurus nigricauda. RNAcentral's name for it is "partial tRNA-Lys". Lineage: Eukaryota; Metazoa; Chordata; Lepidosauria; Squamata; Phrynosomatidae. The record is from RNAcentral.